UACAGAGGCCCCAAGCGUUACUGAGAAUCACUGGGUUUAAAGGGUGCGUAGGUGGUCCGUUAAGUUCGUUGUGAAAGCCCUGGGCUCAACCCAGGAACUGCUUCGAAUACUGGCGGACUUGAGGCCGGUAUGGGUCACUGGAACUGACGGUGGAGCGGUGAAAUGCGUAGAUAUCGUCAGGAACGCCAAUGGUGAAGACAGGUGACUGGGCCGGAUCUGACACUGAGGCACGAAAGCGUGGGGAGCGAACGGG
Molecule: ribosomal RNA, 253 nt
Filed under: uncultured bacterium
Lineage: Bacteria
Description: partial 16S ribosomal RNA
Rfam family: Bacterial small subunit ribosomal RNA
Source: RNAcentral